RNAcentral lists this ribosomal RNA (468 nucleotides) under uncultured bacterium. Its description in RNAcentral is "partial 16S ribosomal RNA". It matches the Rfam family "Bacterial small subunit ribosomal RNA", at positions 28 to 507 of the family's 1533-position model. The record is from RNAcentral.
GACGAACGCUGGCGGCGUGCUUAACACAUGCAAGUCGAACGGAAAGGCCCUGCUUUUGCGGGGUGCUCGAGUGGCGAACGGGUGAGUAACACGUGAGUAACCUGCCCUUGACUUUGGGAUAACUUCAGGAAACUGGGGCUAAUACCGGAUAGGAGCUCCUGCUGCAUGGUGGGGGUUGGAAAGUUUCGGCGGUUGGGGAUGGACUCGCGGCUUAUCAGCUUGUUGGUGGGGUAGUGGCUUACCAAGGCUUUGACGGGUAGCCGGCCUGAGAGGGUGACCGGCCACAUUGGGACUGAGAUACGGCCCAGACUGCUACGGGAGGCAGCAGUGGGGAAUAUUGCACAAUGGGCGGAAGCCUGAUGCAGCAACGCCGCGUGCGGGAUGACGGCCUUCGGGUUAUAAACCGCUUUCGCCUGAAACGAAGCGUGAGUGACGGUAAUGGGUAAAGAAGCACCGGCUAACUACGUG